GCGACAUAGCGGUCGAUUGAAAGUUGAGACGCUCAGUUUAGCGACAUGGCGGUCGAUUUUAAAUUGAGUUGCUCAGUUUAAUGAAUGGCGAUCGAUUUGAGUUUUGGUGCUCAGUUUAAUGACAUUGCGAUCGAUUUGAGUUUUGGUGCUCAGUUUAAUGACAUUGCGAUCGAUUUGAGUUUUGUUGCUUAGUUUAAUGACAUGGCAGUCGGAUGCUCAGUUUAACGACGUGAUGGUCAAUUGUUCAGUUUAACGACUUGACGGUCAUAUUUGAAUAUUAUUUGCUCAAUUUAGCGACAUGGCGGUCGAUUUUAAAUUGAGUUGCUCAGUUUAGAGAUAUGGAGGUCGAUUUGACUUUUGGUGCUCAAUUUAAUGACAUGGCGGUCGGAUGUUCAGUUUAAUGACUUAAUAGUCAUUCGUUCAGUUUAACGACUUGAUGGUCAUUUGUUCAGUUUAACGACUUGAUGGUCAAUUUGAAUUUGA
RNAcentral lists this long non-coding RNA (483 nucleotides) under Ananas comosus (pineapple). RNAcentral describes it as "long non-coding RNA (ACOM_LNC028311)". Lineage: Eukaryota; Viridiplantae; Streptophyta; Magnoliopsida; Poales; Bromeliaceae. The record is from RNAcentral.